CCAGGGGGCGCGCUGGCCGGCGUCGCGGAUCCCCGAGCUGCGCGGCCCGACUCGAGUCCGCCAUAUUGGAUGCCGCAGCCGCUGCUGCCAGCGCUUCCUCCUCUGUCUUCGCCGAACGGGGCUGGUUCCUGCGGCCCGAGCGGCAGGGAGGUGAAACAGGAGCCCGUCGGAGGAAGGGGAAAAAGGGGGUGGAGAGUGUAGGGGACGGGGCUAGAGGGAGGGGGACCGAGACGGAGCGCGGCGGAGAAGAGAAGGCGCCGCGGCCCAGCCCCUCCCCCCCGUCCGCCGCCGACCCGCCCCGGCAGCGCCUCUGUUCCCUAGAACGGCGCUCCCCCCCGCCCUAGCGGCCAUGCCGGGGCCGCGCUGCCGCUGAGGGAGCCCUUCCCCGCCAGCGCGUGCCCUUCCACUCCGCCCCGAGGUCGCAGCGGCCCGCUCUCCCGCCAGCGCCCCCUCCUCGCGGCCACGCAGCAGCCCGCGUCUCGCUCUCCCCACCCAGUGCAGUGGCCGCCGCCUCUUCCGCCGCCGGGCUCGGGGCCUCCGCAGCGACAACAUGGAGGCCGUGAAGACCUUCAAUAGCGAGGAUUGUGCCUCUACUCCUGCUUGUACAGACUGCUUUUCCAGCAGCAUGGACACAAGAAGCAUACUGUAUUCCCUGAAUGACUAUAAACCACCCAUUUCGAAAGCAAAAAUGACCCAAAUUACUAAGGCCGCCAUCAAAGCUAUUAAGUUCUAUAAACAUGUGGUACAGAGUGUUGAGAAGUUUAUUCAGAAAUGUAAACCAGAAUACAAAGUACCUGGACUUUAUGUUAUUGACUCCAUUGUGCGACAAUCCAGACAUCAGUUUGGUCAAGAAAAGGAUGUGUUUGCACCCAGAUUUAGUAAUAACAUCAUUAGCACUUUCCAGAAUUUAUAUCGUUGCCCUGGGGAUGACAAGAGUAAAAUAGUGAGAGUACUAAACUUAUGGCAGAAGAAUAAUGUAUUUAAGAGUGAGAUUAUUCAGCCUCUUUUGGAUAUGGCAGCUGGGAUUCCACCUCCUGUUGUCACACCUGUUUUGGCCAGCACUACCACUGCUAUGAGCAAUACUCCAGGAACUCCUGUGACACCUGUUACUCCGGCCAAUGUGGUCCAAGGCUUACCUGAUCCGUGGGUAUCUCAGAUAACAAAUACAGAUACACUCGCGGCUGUGGCUCAGAUCUUGCAAAGUCCUCAAGGCCAGCAGCUUCAACAAUUAAUACAAACCUUACAGAUACAACAACAGAAGCCCCAGCCUUCCAUUCUGCAGGCCCUAGAUGCUGGUCUUGUUGUUCAGUUGCAAGCUCUUACGGCACAACUUACAGCUGCAGCUGCGGCUGCCAACACUCUUACUCCCUUAGAACAGGGAGUCUCCUUUAACAAGAAGUUGAUGGAUAGGUUUGAUUUUGGGGAAGAUUCUGAGCAUAGUGAAGAACCCAAAAAAGAAAUUCCAACUUCACAACUUUCUCACGUUUCAGAAUCUGUGAACAAUUCCAUUUUUCAUCAGAUAGCAGAACAACUACAACAGCAAAACCUAGAACAUCUCAGACAGCAGCUCUUGGAGCAGCAACAGCCUCAAAAGGCCACUCCUCAGGAUAGUCAGGAAGGAACAUUUGGGUCAGAGCAUUCAGCGUCACCAUCACAAGGGAGUAGUCAGCAGCAUUUUCUUGAACCUGAAGUCAAUUUGGAUGAUUCCAUAGAUAUUCAGCAGCAGGAUAUGGAUAUAGAUGAAGGGCAAGAUGGAGUGGAAGAGGAGGUCUUUGAACAAGAAGCUAAGAAAGUAGCAGUUCGCUCAAGAUCAAGAACACAUUCACGAUCUCGUUCAAGAUCACCAAGAAAACGAAGGUCUAGGUCACGGUCUGGCUCUAGAAAGCGUAAACACAGAAAGCGAUCACGCUCCCGCUCAAGAGAAAGAAAGAGGAAAUCAUCACGGUCGUAUUCAAGUGAAAGGAGAGCCAGAGAAAGGGAAAAAGAACGACAGAAAAAGGGAUUACCUCCAAUUAGAUCUAAAACACUGAGUGUAUGUAGUACUACUCUCUGGGUUGGGCAAGUGGACAAGAAGGCAACACAGCAAGACUUAACCAACCUGUUUGAAGAGUUUGGACAAAUUGAAUCCAUUAAUAUGAUUCCUCCCAGGGGCUGUGCUUAUGUCUGCAUGGUUCAUCGACAAGAUGCAUUUCGAGCUCUUCAGAAACUCAGUUCUGGAUCGUAUAAAAUUGGGUCCAAGGUCAUUAAGAUCGCUUGGGCUUUAAACAAAGGUGUAAAAACAGAAUACAAACAAUUCUGGGAUGUGGAUCUUGGAGUUACAUAUAUACCAUGGGAAAAAGUUAAAGUGGAUGACUUGGAAGGUUUUGCAGAAGGAGGCAUGAUUGAUCAGGAGACUGUAAAUACUGAGUGGGAAACUGUGAAAAGCUCAGAACCUGUUAAAGAGACGGUCCAGACAACUCAGAGCCCAACUCCAGUUGAAAAGGAGACAGUGGUCACAACCCAGGCAGAGGUUUUCCCUCCUCCUGUUGCUAUGUUGCAGAUUCCAGUGGCGCCAGCCGUGCCUACAGUUAGUUUAGUCCCACCAGCAUUUCCUGUGUCGAUGCCGGUUCCUCCUCCUGGAUUUAGUCCGAUUCCUCCACCUCCUUUUUUACGAGCAAGUUUUAACCCUUCACAACCACCACCUGGUUUCAUGCCGCCUCCAGUUCCCCCACCUGUUGUGCCACCCCCUGCAAUUCCACCAGUAGUACCAACAUCUUUAGUGCAGCCGUCAUUAUCCAUGACCCCGGAAACUGUGAAAGAUGUUGGGUUUGGUAGCCUUGUUAUACCGGGUGGCUCUGUUGCCAGCAAUCUUGCUACUUCCGCUCUGCCAGCUGGAAAUGUUUUUAAUGCUCCAACUAAACAGGCAGAGCCUGAAGAAAAAGUACCUCAUCUGAUAGACCACCAGAUUUCUUCUGGUGAAAACACCAGAUCAGUGAUUCCAAAUGAUAUUUCAAGUAAUGCUGCAAUUUUAGGAGGACAGCCACCAAAUGUGACAAGCAAUUCUGGAAUUCUGGGAGUCCAAAGACCAAAUGUAUCAAGUAAUUCUGAAAUUCUUGGGGUCCGGCCAUCUAAUGUUUCCAGUAGUUCUGGGAUUAUUGGAGCCCAACCACCAAAUAUUCUAAAUAACUCUGGAAUAUUGGGAAUACAGCCACCCAGUGUGUCAAGUGGUUCUGGACUUUUGGGAGUGCUACCCCCAAAUAUACCUAACAAUUCUGGACUUGUAGGAGUACAGCCACCAAAUGUUCCAAAUACUUCUGGACUUCUGGGAACACAGCCACCAGCUGGACCUCAAAACUUACCCCCUUUAAGUAUCCCUAAUCAAAGGAUGCCUACAAUGCCAAUGUUAGACAUUCGUCCAGGACUAAUACCACAGGCACCUGGGCCAAGAUUCCCUUUAAUACAGCCUGGAAUUCCACCCCAGCGGGGAAUCCCACCCCCAUCGGUACUUGAUUCAGCUCUUCAUCCACCACCCCGUGGACCUUUUCCUCCAGGAGAUAUUUUUAGUCAGCCAGAAAGACCUUUUUUAGCUCCUGGAAGACAAAGCAUAGACAAUGUUGCUAACCCAGAAAAAAGGAUACCACUUGGGAAUGAUAACAUUCAACAGGAAGGAGAUAGAGAUUACCGGUUUCCUCCUAUAGAAACCAGGGAAAGCAUUAGUAGACCUCCCCCUGUGGAUGUUAGAGAUGUGGUUGGGCGGCCUAUAGAUCCAAGAGAAGGUCCUGGACGGCCUCCACUAGAUGGUAGGGAUCAUUUUGGAAGACCUCCUGUAGAUAUAAGAGAGAAUCUUGUGAGGCCAGGUAUAGAUCAUCUUGGUCGAAGAGACCACUUUGGCUUUAAUCCUGAGAAGCCCUGGGGGCAUAGAGGAGAUUUUGAUGAGAGAGAGCAUCGGGUUCUACCGGUCUAUGGUGGUCCAAAAGGCUUACAUGAAGAAAGAGGUAGAUUUCGGUCUGGAAACUAUCGAUUUGAUCCUAGAAGUGGUCCUUGGAACCGAGGAUUUGGACAAGAAGUUCACAGAGAUUUUGAUGACCGCAGAAGACCCUGGGAGAGGCAAAGGGACAGGGAUGACAGAGAUUUUGAUUUCUGCAGAGAAAUGAACGGAAAUCGUCUUGGACGAGACAGAAUUCAAAACACUUGGGUUCCCCCUCCUCAUGCUCGGGUUUUUGAUUAUUUUGAAGGGGCCACUUCUCAACGAAAAGGUGAUAAUGUGCCUCAGGUUAAUGGUGAAAAUACAGAGAGACAUGCUCAGCCACCACCUAUACCAGUACAGAAUGAUCCUGAACUUUAUGAAAAACUGACAUCUUCAAAUGAAAUAAACAAGGAGAAGAGUGACACAGUUGCUGAUAUAGAAAGUGAACCAGUGGUAGAAAGCACAGAAACUGAGGGGACAUAAUCAUCACUCAGUAGGUUAAUGAUGAAAUGGCAGGUAAUUCACACUUUUGGACAGAGCACACCGCCCCCGUGGAAUCACCCUACAGAAGAGGCCAGCUAUAAAGGAUGUCUCACACCUUUAAGAUCAGUGUUUCUCAAUGUGUGGACCAUGGAUACCUGUAUUAGAAUACACAAAGGAUUUGUUUAAAAUUCAGGCUGAGCCCCUCCCAAGACCUAAUAGAGCUAAAAGCUUUGGGAGUAGGUGGAGGAAACCUGCAUCUUUACCCAGCAAUCCAGGUUCCUCAUAUACUUUCUAUCACACGCACAUUUUCACGAGAGCAAAGUCUACCCUUAACUGAAAUGAAUGACUGCUGAAUGAUCAGGAACUCCAAGUCCACAUGGAAUUCUUGCUCUUCGGUCCCAGACUCUCCCUCCUGUGUCCCCCUCAGGCAGGCAAGAUGAUGAUGAAUGAAGUCCUGGCAGCUUCCUGUGUCCCAGGCCUUGUAGAAAUAAAUGAGACAGACGUGCUUCAAAGUUCUAAUGUGCAUCACAUCGGAUCUUGUUUAAGGAAGCGUUAAAAGGAACCCACCGUUACCUAUUGAGAAGGCUCUGUGCUCUCAGGCAUUGUUUCUGAUUGAAUCCAGAGGUUGCAAGCAUGCCUCCCUGUAUUACCUGUUGGAGCAGGUUUAAUUUUAUAAAUUUUAAACACAAACUCUAUGAGUUUCUAGUUCAUAAUUGUUCUUUUUGGGGAUCCACUCAGAUGAACAGUAUUGCAUUUGUAAGAGAUACCCACUUCCACAGGACCAGAUUUCAUUGCAAUAUCAGUGGCAACAGACUCCAUCUGUAGCAUCAUCCAGUACCAGUGACGGGAAGGACAGAUGGCAAGGAAACCCUUCGGGGGGGAGAAAAAAACGUCAUAUUGUGUUGGACCUACAGAUUACUAGAACCAUAGCUUUAGUAAACCAAGGCUUUUUUUCUUGAACACAAUCUGUGUAGACUGUGUAGUUCUUGAUUGGUGGCUUUAAUCCGUUAUCAUUAGGUAUCUCCUUGAACUUUCUCAAACACUGAAAAUCUUAAGCUUUCAUUAAAAAAAAAAAAAGUAAAUGCAGCUUUCAGAAAAUCCAGGAUUCAGUACAGUCUUCCGAGUGUUUGACUUCAGCCUCCCUGUCCUGUAAUUACCAACAGCAGGUACCCGGGUGGUAGACAAGAAGCCUUGCGGGAUAGAUAAGGAAAUGAGGAGGAACAAACAUAUCACAUGGUAUCAUAAACAUACUUUAUAAGUACAUUUCUUAUUAGCUGCUUCUUCGGGCAGAGAUUAUAAAAGUUUGCUGCAAGUAUCCAGACCAGGAUUUGUGUUUUGGAAAUUAUCAGUGUUCACAAUACUUGCAGGGAAGAAAAAAAUACAAAAACUCAAAUAUGAAUACUGUUUACACCCAAAAGAACAUUUUUAUCAUUCUUUUCUUUGUUUUUGGCUCUGUCAAAAAUUAAAGUGCUUGGAAUGCUGUAGUCUGUGAUCUCUUGAAAUUUAAUCAAUGAGAACCUAGCAUUUUCACAGUAUGCUGUCACUUUGGACAUUCAUAAUAAAAAUUGAAACUAA
RNA transcript from Macaca mulatta (Rhesus monkey), 6004 nucleotides. It is a transcript of the gene named SR-related CTD associated factor 8, with no coding region annotated. Lineage: Eukaryota; Metazoa; Chordata; Mammalia; Primates; Cercopithecidae. The record is from RefSeq and is a predicted model, not a curated record.